GGGGCAUCAUCUGAGAAUGAUGGCGAUUCCCAGAAAUAUGAUGAAUUUGGAGGUUCAUAGGUCUGAGACAGUGAAGCCUUUUGUGUGUGUGUUUGUGUGUGUGUGUUUGUGUGUAUUUGUAAAUGGUGAAUGUAAUAUAAAAUCGCGCCUUAUCACCUGUCUAGAAAGUGUAUCAUGUAUUUGUAUAAAGCUUUAGAGAGUGGUUUAGACUCUAGUUUCUCAGUAUAGAUUUUUCAGUGCUCAGUCAAAGGGAACUGUUCUUAAUCUAAAUGCACGUGUAGCACGGUUGUCAUGCUUUGGUGAUCACAGAGCCCGACGGGGAACUCUAGCCGUUCUAUGGUCUCUAAUCUGAUUAGCCAACCAGGGUAGUUAAAACGUAAGAAAGGAGGAGGGACCUCCUCCCACCUAGGGUCUGAUGGUCCUCCACCAGUAACUGUCAUGAUCUUCUGGUCCUAACACACAGGCUGGGUCCACAGAACUGGUAGAACCCAGAUGGAUUUGCCAGUACAUCUGCAUGAGUAACCAAAAUCCAAACCACAGUAGACGAUGUGACACAAGCCCAGGUAGGUGUUCCUGAAUCCCACAUACCCUUUCCAGAUGGUACAUGCCUGAUGAGUGUUUGAUUCUUACAGACACAGUGACUGUAAUUCUGGAGAGUCCACUGGUUGCUUCCGGGGGGCUGGUUUUCCAGGAGAAAAAGAGAUGGUCUUAUUUCCUAGUUGGGUUAAACUUUGUGCGGAAGAGACAGUUCAGCAAGUGAUUGCAAACCACCUUAAUUAUUUUCAUCUCCGAGGUAAGAAAUUCUGCCUUUAUUACUGUGACUUAGGUGUAAUUAUGCAGCUAAGCAUGCUGAUAUCAAUGUGAAUCACCCAGAUUUCACAGAGCUAGUCUCUCUGCAGUUUUUAAUGAUGUAAACAGGGUACUUAUUUAGGAUUUUGGCUUAAUGUUUGGAAAUGUCUAUUAAAUAACAUCUGGUAUUAAGCCGGAGCUGUUUAUGGCAAUAUGCAGACAGAUACAAAUAGUGAACAAUUGAAGUCCAUUAAAUGAGAAAUGCAAGGGAAAAAAUCUGAAUAUAGAAGAACACAUCAACUAAAGAAGAAUUUAAUAGAUCAUAUGGGUUGUGUGUACUUUUACUUGCAGAUCAUAAUAAGCCCGGUCCUUAGAAAUUCCUGUUUACUAGGACAUCAUAAACACAUUGAGCGAUCAGCUCAUGGCCUUGAUGUUCGAUGAGCACAUUGCCAGAAAAAGAAUGUGUCCUGGAUAGUAUAUCCGAUGCACCUCCAACCAUCAAAGAGUCGUGGUUGUAUGUUUCAUUUGUGCCUUGUUUUGGGAUGUUGAGAGCAAUAUUCACAGGUUCUGGUGAAACCUGACUCUACUUCAAGACUUGGGUCUUUACCACUGACCACCACAUAAUGAUUCAAGGAGAUUAUGUCUUUGUGGAUAAUAAUGUUGUUUUAUUGACCAACGCCGGGAAAUUCUCUUUUCAUCUGUCCAUCCCGGCCUCAGUCACAGACACAUAUGUAGGUGAGAGCAAGCUUGGUGUCCACUUGCAGUACCCCUGGAGCUGGGGGUCAAGGGCCUUACUCAAGGGCCCACAGACGUGACUAUCCCCCCAAGGCCUGGCUUGACCCAGCAAUCUUCCAAUCAGAGGCAGAGAGGCUUAGGCUGCUGAGUCACACGCUGCUCCAGAAGAUCUGCAAGAUCUUUAAUGGCAGCCUUGUCUUUGAAGUACAGCCUGACGCUGGAAGUUUACACAGAAUUGAAAGGCGUGAAAGAGCAACAGGUGGAGUGUGAUUCCUAGUGUAGAAACAGCUCCUCCAUCACCAGGACCUGUGUUGGUUUAUGCCUCAGUGUGUCAGGAGACUGUGUGGGAGGCCUUCGAGAUCUUUGGGGAUCGGCUUCCAAAGCGUGAUGAGUACCAGGGUUGGCUAAUGCUGUGCCGGAAUGGUGUUGCCAACAUUCUUGAGAUUGGCAGCAGUUUCAGCCAAUCAGAGGAACAUCAGUCUCAGCAACUGUUUGUUUUCGUUCUUUUGGUUAUACCGCCUCUUAGAUUCAUGGAAGUCAGCCAUUGGACAGCACAAGCACAAAUGAUUAUUGAGAUUGUAUUUAUAAUGUCUUCCAAGUGUGACAUUCUGUAGCUAAAUGGUGUCUAUUCUGUUUAUUGCGAAUGUCAAUGGCUGAAUUACACAGGUCACAUCAUUUUAAUACCAUAAAUAUGUGCAACCCCUAGUCAUUGAGAGAUUGACGGCACCCUGAUUAGCUUUUGUUAUAACAGAAUCGGUUCAGUGAAGCGAUUGUUUUAUAUACUUAACCUCAUGCCCUGGUACAAACCACACCUUUGUAUUCAACCAUUCUCUCUGAAAAUGUAGACAUUUACGUACAGGAUUCUUUUUGUCCCUGUCCCCAGCGAACCCGCUAGUUCUUGGCUGCAUCUGUGCAGGUACAUUCUAGUAUAUGGACAGCAAUAUAUAUUUCUAUGCCCUUAGUAUGGCCCACCUACUCAGAACACCCUGUGGAUCUCCUGUACCUGCUAGGAACCAUGGUCAGACUUACCUUUGCCAACCUUCUAGUGUACUCGCUGUUGGUGAUGUCACCUCUUUGAAAUAGACCCAUCCGUGACAGGACAUUCUUGAUCACAUGCUUGUCAGGUAAGUGGGAAUGGCAAAUUAUACCCAAUGACUUCGUAAUUUAAUAACUUGGGUUAUCAUUUUUUAGCCCUGGGGCUGCAGUUUCCCAUUCUUAGGAGGCCACAUCCACACCCCAGGAAGGUCUGUCUGGCUGACAACUCUAUCGGAUUGCUUAUUAAAACUGUGGAAGAUCUCUUUAAUGCUUGUGUGACAUUCCACCGUUUAGGUGGUGAAGAUGUAGGGAAGCAUGACAGCCCAUUGGCAAAAUAAAGAGAAAAAAAAUUGUUGAUUACAUUUGUUUUAUAUUUCCUUAGCUAACACGACAUUCUGCUGACUUGCUCAGAUGUUUCCCCAGUCUUCUUGCUUAUUGCUUGGCAGCUAAGCCAUCAUGCUCUUGUAUGAAUCUCAACAUCCUAGAGAAAGUCCAUCCUGGUGUUUAUCAUUGGGGCUGCAGGAGGUUCUGGAGCUGAAUUUUUUAGUUGAUGUGUGAAGUCUCUCAUUUUGGGUUUUGUUUUCGGCAGCUGAAGAAAUGGAUGCCCUUCUGCCUGAGAUGCUUGUGCUAAGUGCUACUCCUGAGCCAAUGAUUAUGGUGACUAUUACCCCUGGGGAGGUGAGGUGACGGCGGGGGACUCAGCUGCUGCUCACUGCCUGGACCACUGAGGAAAUGUCACUCAUUGUACCAUACUCUUACUUACUGAAAGGAAACAUCAGCUCACUGAAAAUGUGUGGAAAUUAGUUAAAGGAAGUCCAGUUGGUUGAUAUAAUAGUUGAUACUUUUAUUGAUCCCUGUGGGGAACUUGUCUUUUUACACCUCCCUCAACUUGCUCUUUGUAGAGUAAGCUGUCUGUGAAGGGCAGCCACCUGUAGGGGUGCCCAGGGGGUGAAGGGCCUUGCUCAAGGACCCACAGACAUGCUGAGGCUGGAUUUGAACCGGUGACCUUCUGAUUACAGGCACACAGGCUUAGCCCACUGUCUUGCACUGUAUGGUAAUUGCAUGCACGGGGAUACUAACUUGUACGGCUUUCCUUACUUUUUUGUGUAGUGGCCAGAGCAGCCCCUGGUGGGUGAGGCUGUGCAUCUCAGUGUCUGGCUGAAGGGGGAAUCCCACAGCGAUCCCUCUAGUGCCCGAUACCCACAAGUGGCCCACAAGUUUACACACAAGUCCCCUUUCGUGGCAGAAGCCUACUCAUGGCCCGACGAGGGGCCCACUGCAUUCUCCACCAUCACUGACUCUCUCAAGGCUUCCAUCAAACCCUCUGCUGCACUGGCCAGUGCUGAAACGGACAAUGUGCAUGCAUCAGAAAAACCCCACAGGUUUGCAGAACAAGAGUUUUGCCUGAAAAACAUUUCCAGUGGCUUCAGCAGGAAUGAGUCCAUGUUGAACCAGCUGUGCCUCGUGGCUUCCUGCGACAGCCACAGGGCGGGCCGGCUGGUGCCGUGUUGGGGAGAACUGGUGAUUCCAUGGGGAACACUGUGAGGAACUUCUACUGAUGGGAAUCUCCAUAACCUCUUUAGCAGGCUUUCUGCUUCUCACAUUGCCAAUCCUCUUUAUCUUGAUAAGGAUGAUGCGUGAUCACAAGGAUGAUCUGGAGGUCCCGGUUUGCAUUGGCGACAGCAUGCUGUCCUCAGAGUGGGACAUUAAGUACAAAGCUAUGUACGAGAGUGAGAGUACUGCCAGGCAGGGCCACUACUACCGGUACCCGGAGACUCCCUGUUCCGGUAGCACAAAUCCUCCGCUGAGACUGCCAAUGAGGAGGUCAACACAUCUACCAGAACGGCGAGCUCACCAAGGAGAAAAGUCAGGAUCGAAUCUGGACGUCGAGCUGCACGCAAAGGACGGCCCACUUUGCAAACUUUGGGCAGCAGCACGAGGUGGUGUGUAAGGUGUUGCACACUUGGACAAGAAAUUCGCCUCUGGAGAGACAGAAAGCAGCCGUCUGGAUGGAUCUUGUGGGCGUGGUGUUUGUAGUGGGAGUCGGGUUGUUGUGUGUUCUGGUGUUUUUUGUCUGCUUUGGGCUUAUCAGCUCCGCAGAUGGUUCACUGUUCCUGGUUAAUUUAUUCGUUAUAUUUAUUACCUCUGUUGCUACCUUUUUCUGAUGUUGUAACUAACACCUGACCGAAUUAUAAGUCUGCAUGUAGUUUAGAGA
Molecule: long non-coding RNA, 4774 nt
Organism: Brienomyrus brachyistius
Lineage: Eukaryota; Metazoa; Chordata; Actinopteri; Osteoglossiformes; Mormyridae
Exons: 9
Source: RefSeq, a predicted model, not a curated record